This 199-nucleotide ribosomal RNA is filed under the name uncultured bacterium. RNAcentral's name for it is "partial 16S ribosomal RNA". It matches the Rfam family "Bacterial small subunit ribosomal RNA", at positions 328 to 539 of the family's 1533-position model. The record is from RNAcentral.
ACGCUCGACACCUACGGGAGGCAGCAGUCGGGAAUAUUGCGCAAUGGAGGAAACUCUGACGCAGUGACGCCGCGUAUAGGAAGAAGGUUUUCGGAUUGUAAACUAUUGUCGUUAGGGAAGAGAAAGGACAGUACCUAAGGAGGAAGCUCCGGCUAACUACGUGUCAGCAGCCGCGGUAAUCUGAGCGGGCUGGCAAGGC